RNAcentral lists this ribosomal RNA (512 nucleotides) under uncultured bacterium. RNAcentral describes it as "partial 16S ribosomal RNA". It matches the Rfam family "Bacterial small subunit ribosomal RNA", at positions 28 to 523 of the family's 1533-position model. The record is from RNAcentral.
GACGAACGCUGGCGGCGUGCCUAAUACAUGCAAGUCGAGCGGCCCAAUAGAAGCUUGCUUCUAUUGGUUAGCGGCGGACGGGUGAGUAACACGUGGGCAACCUGCCUGUAAGACUGGGAUAACUUCGGGAAACCGGAGCUAAUACCGGAUAAUUCAUCCCCUCGCAUGAGGGGGUGCUGAAAGUCGGUUCACGCUGACACUUACAGAUGGGCCUGCCGCGCAUCAGCUAGUUGGGAAGGUAAUGGCUAACCAAGGCGACGAUGCGUAGCCGACCUGAGAGGGUGAUCGGCCACACGGGGACUGAGACACGGCCCAGACUCUUACGGGAGGCAGCAGUAGGGAAUCUUCCACAAUGGACGAAAGUCUGAUGGAGCAACGCCGCGUGAGCGAUGAAGGCCUUCGGGUCGUAAAGCUCUGUUGUUAGGGAAGAACAAGUACCGGAGUAACUGCCGGUACCUUGACGGUACCUAACCAGAAAGCCACGGCUAACUACGUGCCAGCCGCCGCUGUAA